GCAAGCCUAACACAUGCAAGUCGAACGGACAAUUGCUUAUAACCUUUUGGUUAUAAAUAAUUGUUAGUGGCAGACGGGUGAGUAAUGCGUAGGAAUCUACCUAGUAGUAUGGAAUAGCCAUUAGAAAUGAUGGGUAAUACUGUAUAAUCCCUGCGGGGGAAAGAUUUAUCGCUAUUAGAUGAGCCUACGUUAGAUUAGCUAGUUGGUAAGGUAAUGGCUUACCAAGGCUAUGAUCUAUAGCUGGUCUGAGAGGACGAUCAGCCACACUGGAACUGAGAUACGGUCCAGACUCCUACGGGAGGCAGCAGUGGGGAAUAUUGGACAAUGGGCGAAAGCCUGAUCCAGCUAUGCCGCGUGAGUGAAGAAGGC
This 369-nucleotide ribosomal RNA is filed under the name Ehrlichia chaffeensis. RNAcentral describes it as "bacterial SSU rRNA". It matches the Rfam family "Bacterial small subunit ribosomal RNA", at positions 42 to 415 of the family's 1533-position model. Lineage: Bacteria; Pseudomonadati; Pseudomonadota; Alphaproteobacteria; Rickettsiales; Anaplasmataceae. The record is from RNAcentral.